UAGGGAAUCUUCCGCAAUGGGCGAAAGCCUGACGGAGCAACGCCGCGUGAGUGAAGAAGGUCUUCGGAUCGUAAAACUCUGUUAUUAGGGAAGAACAAAUGUGUAAGUAACUAUGCACGUCUUGACGGUACCUAAUCAGAAAGCCACGGCUAACUACGUGCAAGCAGCCGCGGUAAUACGUAGGUGGCAAGCGUUAUCCGGAAUUAUUGGGCGUAAAGCGCGCGUAGGCGGUUUUUUAAGUCUGAUGUGAAAGCCCACGGCUCAACCGUGGAGGGUCAUUGGAAACUGGAAAACUUGAGUGCAGAAGAGGAAAGUGGAAUUCCAUGUGUAGCGGUGAAAUGCGCAGAGAUAUGGAGGAACACCAGUGGCGAAGGCGACUUUCUGGUCUGUAACUGACGCUGAUGUGCGAAAGCGUGGGGAUCAAACA
RNAcentral lists this ribosomal RNA (427 nucleotides) under uncultured bacterium. RNAcentral describes it as "partial 16S ribosomal RNA". It matches the Rfam family "Bacterial small subunit ribosomal RNA", at positions 355 to 774 of the family's 1533-position model. The record is from RNAcentral.